UAGCUAGUUGGUGAGGUAACGGCUUACCAAGGCGACGAUCUGUAGCGGGUCUGAGAGGAUGAUCCGCCACACUGGAACUGAGACACGGUCCAGACUCCUACGGGAGGCAGCAGUGGGGAAUUUUGGACAAUGGGGGCAACCCUGAUCCAGCCAUGCCGCGUGAGUGAAGAAGGCCUUCGGGUUGUAAAGCUCUUUCGGCCGGGAAGAAAUCGCAUGGGCCAAUACCCUGUGUGGAUGACGGUACCGGAAUAAGAAGCACCGGCUAACUACGUGCCAGCAGCCGCGGUAAUACGUAGGGUGCGAGCGUUAAUCGGAAUUACUGGGCGUAAAGCGUGCGCAGGCGGUUUUGUAAGACAGGCGUGAAAUCCCCGGGCUCAACCUGGGAACUGCGUUUGUGACUGCAAGGCUAGAGUACGGCAGAGGGGGGUGGAAUUCCACGUGUAGCAGUGAAAUGCGUAGAGAUGUGGAGGAACACCAAUGGCGAAGGCAGCCCCCUGGGUCGAUACUGACGCUCAUGCACGAAAGCGUGGGUAGCAAACAGGAUUAGAUACCCUGGUAGUCCACGCCCUAAACUAUGUCAACUAGGUGUUGGGUGGGUAAAACCAUUUAGUACCGUAGCUAACGCGUGAAGUUGACCGCCUGGGGAGUACGGCCGCAAGGUUAAAACUCAAAGGAAUUGACGGGGACCCGCACAAGCGGUGGAUGAUGUGGAUUAAUUCGAUGCAACGCGAAAAACCUUACCUACCCUUGACAUGCCAGGAACUUGCCAGAGAUGGCUUGGUGCCCGAAAGGGAGCCUGGACACAGGUGCCGCAUGGCUGCCGUCAGCUCGUGUCGUGAGAUGUUGGGUUAAGUCCCGCAACGAGCGCAACCCUUGUCGUUAAUUGCCAUCAUUUAGUUGGGCACUUUAGCGAGACUGCCGGUGACAAACCGGAGGAAGGUGGGGAUGACGUCAAGUCCUCAUGGCCCUUAUGGGUAGGGCUUCACACGUCAUACAAUGGUCGGUACAAAGGGUCGCCAAGCCGCGAGGUGGAGCCAAUCCCAGAAAGCCGAUCGUAGUCCGGAUUGCAGGCUGCAACUCGCCUGCAUGAAGUCGGAAUCGCUAGUAAUCGUGGAUCAGCAUGUCACGGUGAAUACGUUCCCGGGUCUUGUACACACCGCCCGUCACACCAUGGGAGCGGGUUCCGCCAGAAGUAGGUAGCCUAACCGCAAGGAGGGCGCUUACCACGGCGGGGUUCGUGACUGGGGUGAAGUCGUAACAAGGUAGCCGUAGGGGAACCUGCGGCUG
Molecule: ribosomal RNA, 1287 nt
Filed under: metagenome
Description: bacterial SSU rRNA
Rfam family: Bacterial small subunit ribosomal RNA
Source: RNAcentral